Molecule: long non-coding RNA, 1323 nt
Organism: Syngnathus typhle (broad-nosed pipefish)
Lineage: Eukaryota; Metazoa; Chordata; Actinopteri; Syngnathiformes; Syngnathidae
Exons: 14
Source: RefSeq, a predicted model, not a curated record
CUUCCGCUUCAGUGGGCAGCUAGCUCUUCAGGUUGUUACCUUUUGGACUUUCGAAUGAGUCAUGUCAACUUUUUCCAAGCUCUCAAUCUGCUAGUAUAAAAGGCGUCAAGAUCGCGACGCUCAUUCUCGCACUCACCACUGACAGCGAGAGCCACGUUGCUCUGGUCCACCUGCUGCGCCGGCCGUACAACAACGUGUAAACGUGACAAGCCUCUAGUUGCACUUUGGGCGUGCUUCCAUCUUGCAAGCUCAAAAGUUUGCAGAAGCUAGCGUUAGCAGUUAACAUCUCCAACGACCACCAAAACGCAUUUAUCUGGCGUGCAACUAAACAAUUUAAGAAUGCAACGGUGGCCACGUCUGGACGACAGCGCCGUUUGGCCGAAGGUGCAAACCCUCAAAACGAGCCUGUCAUGGCCGACUGACUUUGCAGGCCUGCAUCUGGAACCGAGGGAACAGGCUGACUGCAAAGUGGCAAAAAAAAAUAUUAGCAAGGCAUCUUGUCAAAUUGACUAAAGCAAACAUUUGUUCUUUUUCUUUUGUCUGCAGGGUCCAAAAUGGCCACCUUGCAGUCCUCGCAUGGCUUCAUGGGACACUUGCAGACCAGCGAGCUGUAGUUGGAGAGACGUCCGGUGCUGCUCUCCAUUCAUCACUGGUGGGACCAAAGGACCAAGUUUCUGUUGCAUGGUGAAGAUCUACAUGGUUUUAAUCUUGUGGCAUCAUAACCUCUUGUCCAGAGCACUUUCCAGUAAAGAUGCAGUUGGAACAUCCGCUACCUGCUGGCCAAAGAUAAAAUCCCUCCAAAGUCAUGCAGAAGUACUUCCAGGUAUCCAUCCUGGAGAAUUUUUACAACAUUUCAGGAACUCUGCCUGCAGAGGUGGCAAAUCCAGGUCCAGAAAGUGAAAAGCCUGCCACAAUUUGUCUUAAGCCUCUGAGCUUGUUCAUCUGGAUCUGGGCUGCCUGAAGAGUCCUCCGCUGUGUGGACCACCAGCCGCUCGUAGCGGAAGCUGAGGACAAGAGCAAAGCCACAUACCAGCAGCACUUUCUUAUUUACUCAGCUCUAAGGCAACCUGAGAAGAAGCAAAGAACAAAAUCAACUUCCUGAGUCAUGCAGCAAGGAACAAAAUUGGCUUCCUGGUCAUGCAGCUUGCAGUACGUGGUGCCAUAAACAACUCAACUUGCGCACUGGUCCAGGCAUGGAGUACCAGUCUUCCCACCGGCCGACCACUCGUCCCACCGGCCGACCACUCGUCCCACCGGCCGACCACUCGUCCCACCGGCCGACCACUCGUCCCACCGGCCGACCACUCGUCCCACCGGCCGACC